Zonotrichia leucophrys gambelii is the source of this 397-nucleotide long non-coding RNA. RefSeq lists it as uncharacterized. The record is from RefSeq and is a predicted model, not a curated record. NCBI's taxonomy places the organism in Eukaryota, Metazoa, Chordata, Aves, Passeriformes, Passerellidae. The transcript has 3 exons.
UGGGGGUCCCUCUUUGCCCCCCAGAUUUCGUCUCCGUUCUCGACGUCGAUUUCCUGGAGCUGCUGCUGAGCCCCGGCGGGGGGGGGGACGGCGAGGGGGGGGCGCCCCCUCCCCCCUGGGAGCUGCUGGUGGCCCCGGCCCGGCUGCGCGGCCGCACCUGCGCCGACAGCGCCGCCGCCCUGGCGCGGCUGCUGCAGCACCUGGGGACCCCCCCGCGGGCACCGCGACCCCCCCCCGGCACCGGGACCCCCCCCGCGGCCCCGCAGAGACCCCCGGGACACGGGGAGACCCCCGCGGGGGGGGAGCACGCCGCCCCCGCCCCCAUCAACCAACAGGACCUGACGGACGCGCUGAGAGACCCCCCCGGGACCCCCCCCGGGGACCCCCGGAGCGCCGG